Molecule: long non-coding RNA, 999 nt
Filed under: Cricetulus griseus (Chinese hamster)
Lineage: Eukaryota; Metazoa; Chordata; Mammalia; Rodentia; Cricetidae
Description: lncRNA (ENSCGRG00015031789.1)
Source: RNAcentral
AUAAUGAACCGUGUCCCUCUGAACUCAUCAGGAAAGAAGCCAAGGUGUCACAUCCUAGAGGGGCCCAGAGCCUGGGUUAGACUCUCUCCUAACUCCUUUGCUUAAAGUAGAGACUGAGACUUGAGUCUACAGUGAGAGUAAGUUGUAGGAGCCCUCCAGAAUUUGUUGUCCUCUGGUUCCUCUCCUCCAGUGAGAAAAGCCAUGCUGCAACCAUCCAGAGAAGCCUCGGCAGCUUGGGGAGGUUGCUGUAACAACUUUUGCUGGAAAAAAAAAAAAGCCAUGGAAAUCCUGGGCCUGGUUUCCCUUUGGAUUAAAAUAAAUGUUAAGUGCAAAGCCAAGGACCUGCUAUUGAUGAAAUACCUUGAAUUCCCCUUUCACAAGCAGCCACUGGGGGCGCUACUGAACAAAUCCCACUGACUUCCACUGGUUCCGAGAGGAACACCAGGAACCACACUGGAAAAAGCAAAUUACAGACAAAUGAUGAAAUCGCCACCUUGCCAAAGAUGAUAAAUAGCUUUGUUCUGACCUGGGGAGGUCACCUUUCUGGAGAUGAAGGAUGGAUACUGUCUUGUCAGUAGAGAUGAGUUCUGGAUGCAUAAGACUGCACAACACCAUCUUACACCUUAUUCUUGUGUUUGUGGGUGGGGCUCAAGUGUCUGCCACUUGUGUUCAGGUUCCUGACAAGCAGAGGGCAUCAGAUCUCCUAGAGCUGUUGUCACAGGCACUUGUGAGCUACCCGCUAUGGUGUCGGGAACCACACUUGGUCCUCUGAAGAGCAUCAAGAACAAUUAGCCCCUGAGCCAUCUCCCCAACCCCUCUUCUUUUUAACUGGUGUACAGUGUCCCCACAAUCCUGCUGUCCAGUACUGUUCUUUGCAAGAAACAAAAGGUCCCCAUUCCAACUUGUGGAAGAUGGACAGUGGAGGCUGUCUGAAGUGAUCAGAGCAGCUUCCUCUCCUUAUUUGAAUGGAUGACAUUGCCAUGUAAAUUUAAUAUGUAC